This is a non-coding RNA of Schistosoma rodhaini, 48 nucleotides long. The record is from Rfam. NCBI's taxonomy places the organism in Eukaryota, Metazoa, Platyhelminthes, Trematoda, Strigeidida, Schistosomatidae.
AUCCAGCUGACGAGUCCCAAAUAGGACUAUGGCGUUCGCGUCCUGGAU